UGUGCAUGUGUGGGUGUGGUAUGUGUGUGUGUGUGCAUGCAUGUCUGUGUGUGUGUGCAUGCCUGUGUGUGCGCAUGAAUGUAUGGGGUAUGUAUGUGUGGGUGCAUGCAUUGCACAUGUAUGAACUGUGUUUCCAACGCUUUAAUGUCAGGGCUUUGCUGACCGUGGAGAGACUGCCCCUCUGGGGCCAGCCACUUCCUAGAGAUCACAAACACUUGCCUUUGGUUGCCUUUCAAAUGAAACCCCCAACCCACCCCCAGCUGUCUCCUCUGUGUGCUCCCAGGCUCGGGCCCACAUCCCCUGCACAAAUCACGGCCUGACCCCAGACGCCCAGGGUGGGCCUAUAUCCCCACAGGCCAGCCUCCAGCGUGCUCACCCGGCUUUCCCCACCUUUCCCGAGGAAGCCUCUGCCAAGGCUCUGCCCGUGUUUCCCCAUCACGUCAUCUGUCUCUGAGACCGUGGUGUUCCCCUGCGUGGUGUGGCAUGCCCCUCCUCCUGUUGGGAACUGUAACAAAUGGUCUCAUCAAUGGCAGGCGUCUCCUGAUCUCACUCACCUGCGUGAUAAGAAAACCUACAUUUUAAAGCAAGAGGUGUCUCCUGAAUCAUGUAGAUCUCUUGGGCCUGCUGUCCAGCUUCCCAUGGGGGCCUCUGAGAGCAGCUGCCGAAUCACAGUCCUUAGUAGAAGCUGCCUCGGUCCCAAGGAGGCUGCCCCGUGCCCUGACCAGAUAGUGGGAGGAAGCCCCCUGCCAGGGCAACUGGCAGUUCUCCAGGCCUCAUCCACUUGCCUGCCACACUGAGGGACCCAGCUUAGCAGCUGCCUUUUCUCUGGGAAGGUCAGCGCUGGAGAGUCUCGGGGGCUCCAGGCUGUGCUAGGUCUGACCACCGUGGCUUUGAAGGAGACAGAGAUGCUUAGGAUUAAACAGACCACUCUCCCCGCCAGGCCAGAGUUGGGACGGGGGAUGACAGCGCUGAUCAGAGAACCCAGAGGAACCCUGUGUACACAGCAGCUGCAGGCUCCUAAAGGGUCGGGGGAGGGAUCGUGCUCUCCCUGCCGUGGGGAAGCUGAUUCUGCCAGGGCCGGUUCCACUCCAGGCUCCAGAGGCAGAGGGGUGAAGCUGCACCAGGACCAGCCCCGCUGGCACACUUAGGUUCCUCUGUGCCUCAUCCUCUGCUUUGGAUUUGCCUCCACCACCACUGCAGGACCAAAGAAAUCCUGUGUGGGGCCUCGGUGCAGAGUCCGCAUGGAAGAAACGGUUACCACAUACUCCUAAAUGGGCCAAAACACGGUGGGAACUUGCCGGGCCCAUCUCUCUGGGUCGCCCAGGCUGCACCUUUAUGCCUUAAAAUCAGCUGUUUCCCUCAUGACUAAUUCAGGAGGAGAAGAACUUUCGUAUCCAUUUUCUCAUUUUCUUCCCUCAACAAGCGCGUGCAUGGUCCUUGCCUUGCCUUGGAGCUGCAAGGAAGCUGAGGCCAGAGAGGUGGCCCUGCUGGCCUCAGGUCAGGUCACCUGGCUUAGGAGGAACAAGCACUAGUGGAGGUCCGAGGGGCCCAGCCUGUGAGCCCAGGGAGCACAGUCCAGGGAGUGGGAGCCCAGCAGGGCAGGAGCCCAGGGAGCACAGUCCAAGGAGUGGGAGCCUGGGGAGCACAGUCCGGGGAGCACAGCCCAAGGAGUGGGCAUUUAAAACGAAACUGCCCGCCCAGCUGUCAGCUCUGGUCUCAGCAGCCGGGAGGCUGUGGUCAAAGAACAAGGGAUCUGUCCACGUGUGUGGGUCCCUGAGGGCCGGCCUCACCUUUGGGGGUAGAACUGGGCCAGGAGGGUUUCCGUGAUACAACCACAGCAUGGAAGCUGAAGAUCUUCUCAUACUUACAGACCUUGGCGGGUACGUUGCAGGCCUGGUGCCUACAAGCACUUGGAGGUUGGGGGCACAAACAGGGAGUGCAGGGACCCUGGGGCCAACACGUUUGUUGGAUCCAGAGGAGCUCUGCUUGUUUUUAGAAGGUGCAACUCACAUGGUAUAGAGAGGAGCACAGUGACCCCCCACAAGCACCCGGGUCCAGCCUCACCAGGAACCGACGCGGCGCAAUCCUGUUUCAGCCACAAACUUUGCCCGCCUCCCGCCGUGCCCUGGGUAUCCGACAUGAAUUCCAGAGAGUGUGUUGUUUUAUCCAUCGAUAGUUUAGUGUGUAUCUUUAAAAACGAGGACUGUCUUCGUAGCCACCACCACGGUAUUUUCCACACCGGGAACAAUGGUCUUUACGAUCCCGUCACACUGCGCCAGGCUCGUGUUCUUCCAGUGCCUGUGACUGUCUUCUGAUGGCUUCUCUGAGUCAGGAUCUGGAUGAGUCUCUGCAGUGAGGUGGGCCCAUGACCACCAGUCACCCUGUGGGCCCUGUCCUUGCUGUUUACUUGCUGAGGGCCCAGGUGGCUCUGUGGUUCCGUAUCCUGAGCAUCCCGUCUGCUUCUGCUGCCCACGUCACCUGGAGACCCGGGCACUAUCCCUUCGUCCUGCCUUCUCCUUCCUUCCAGAAAUAACCCUUCCCCCCAGGCCUCCCCAGCAGCUCAGGAGAGCCACAGACUUGAGGCAGCCAGAGGUGCGAGAAGAGGUGGUCCCUGACUGACAGGAACGGAUGGCAGCCACACCUGCCCCGGCCACCUACCAAGCAGGUAGGGGAGAGCCAUGACAUGAAGGGGCCAGAAGCUCAGAAGGGGCCAUACAGAACACGGAGUGCAGAGUGUGGAGGGUGAAACCCUUUGGACUCACAGCUCUGCAGAAACAGGCGAGAGGGAGCUCUGGCUGGGAGUGAAGGAGCACCCAGAGUCCCCCCAAGAAUUCAUAGAGACCUCAUCUAGCAGCA
Molecule: non-coding RNA, 2856 nt
Organism: Chlorocebus sabaeus (green monkey)
Lineage: Eukaryota; Metazoa; Chordata; Mammalia; Primates; Cercopithecidae
Source: RefSeq, a predicted model, not a curated record